RNAcentral lists this long non-coding RNA (199 nucleotides) under Elaeis guineensis (African oil palm). RNAcentral's name for it is "long non-coding RNA (EGUI_LNC050668)". The record is from RNAcentral. Lineage: Eukaryota; Viridiplantae; Streptophyta; Magnoliopsida; Arecales; Arecaceae.
GAUGACAUCACUACACCAAUCAAAAUUUUUUUAGAUUAAAUAAAAUUUUUUGAUUGAUCGAAUGAUGUGGCACUGCGCAGCGCAGCAGGGUCUAUAUAAACCCUGUCUGCACCUAGGGUUUAAGAGAUUCUGCUUCCUACCCAGCAAAAGCCAGCCACCCCUCCUCUUCUCCACAUCCUCCCUGGUGCUCCCUCUCCCC